Molecule: long non-coding RNA, 275 nt
Filed under: Phoenix dactylifera (date palm)
Lineage: Eukaryota; Viridiplantae; Streptophyta; Magnoliopsida; Arecales; Arecaceae
Description: long non-coding RNA (PDAC_LNC011440)
Source: RNAcentral
CUUGUUUGCAUGUGAAUGUUUAUUGUAUCUUACAUGGAGAUAUCCUGCAAGUAGAAAUCUCUCAUUUUCUUGCUCAAGGAUCCUGCAUUAUUAACAAACUCCUUUUCUUUCUUGAAAGAAAGUCAUUAGUUUCUUCAAGAUACAAAACAUUCAUAGAGCAUAUUUCUUAACUGGGUGACUCAAUCAUAAGAUAUGACAACAAUUGAAUGUUGAGUCACUUUACUCAAGAGAUUGCCUAAAUAUAAGCAAACACAUGUCACUUGAACUUAAGAGAU